Molecule: unclassified non-coding RNA, 148 nt
Organism: Pongo abelii (Sumatran orangutan)
Lineage: Eukaryota; Metazoa; Chordata; Mammalia; Primates; Hominidae
Rfam family: Metazoan signal recognition particle RNA
About the family: The signal recognition particle (SRP) is a universally conserved ribonucleoprotein.
Source: Ensembl
GCUGGGCGUGGUGGCGUGCGCCUGUAGUCCCAGCUACUUCGGAGGCUGAGGCAGGAGACUUGCUUGAACCUGGGAGGCAGAGGUUGCAGUGAGCCAAGAUCAUACCACUGCACUCCAGCCUAGGUUACAGAGUGAGACUCUGUUUCAA